RNAcentral lists this non-coding RNA (74 nucleotides) under Methanoplanus limicola DSM 2279. The record is from RNAcentral. Lineage: Archaea; Methanobacteriati; Methanobacteriota; Methanomicrobia; Methanomicrobiales; Methanomicrobiaceae.
UUGAUGUAUGCGCAUAUGGGUGGACGAAAUUUUUCGGCCCUUACUCUUAAAUGAGUAGUGCAUAUUAAGGUCAG